Molecule: long non-coding RNA, 649 nt
Filed under: Homo sapiens (human)
Lineage: Eukaryota; Metazoa; Chordata; Mammalia; Primates; Hominidae
Description: HSALNT0388890
Source: RNAcentral
CGAUGCUGCCCCCGAUGCUGCAGGAGCCCUUCAUGGAUCUGGAGGAGGUGAACUGGUGGCUGCAGGUGCUCAUCGUGCCAAGGAGGGAGAUCCCACGCUGGGCCUGGCAGCUCCAUUCAUCCAGCUGAGCUGGGGGAGAGCACCGGUCAUGGGCCCACUCAGGCACGCAUGGAGAGCCUGGUGUGUGUUGUACGGUUCUGUGAGCAGGGAUGACGGGGGCGUUAUUCCUGCCACCAGUCCUCAGAGGGGACAGAGGGGUAACCAGAGACAGGUGGAGAUUCACUCAAAGUCACUCUGCUUUAAGCUGCAGAGCUGCAACUAGAACCCAGACCUCAGCCCUCUCCAGGCUCCCACCAUGCCUGCAGGCGGGGCCAGUAUACCCAACUCUCACCCACCUCCCCACGAUCACUGGCAUGAGGUCUGCCCAGGGUGGGCGUGGCCUUGGCCUGAGAGGCUGGUGCAGCACCGAGGACUGGAGGGAGGAGGAGGGAUCUGGGCACCAAGACGGGGCCUCCUCAGGGUGCCGUGGGGCAUCCCUUGGUGCUGGCCACUGGCCUUGCUCUGCAGUGCCUCUGUUGAGGUGAGGAGCCCAGAGACAGCCUGCCUCUGCCUGGGCUCCACUGGGGCAGGCAAUUCCUUGUCUCAGCAG